ACGUCCAACUCUUUAGCUCCCUUCGUUAUCUCUCCCCUGCCCAUCUCCCUCUCUCUUUGAUAACGCCUGCAUCCCUUAAUUCCCUUCGUUAUCCGCUCUCUCCCUUGCCCCUCUCCCUCUGUCCGUCUCUAAAUUAAUUUGAUGUUCAGCCUCCUCGCUUCCGCUUCAGUUUCCUCCGUUUCUCAAUGCCAACACUCUCUAAAUUCCUCCUUAAUCGCUCUCUCCCUAGCCUCUCUUCCCCAUCUCUCUCUGAAUUAUUUUGACGGUCGAUCUCCUCACAUCCACUGAUGUAUAUGUCCUAAACCUCCAUCGCUGAUCUCCGGCCACGACCAUUGUCUAAAACCCUUAAAAAAACCCACCAUUUUCCCCAAAAUUCCUGUAAUUUCCCCAAAAAUCUCAACUCUCUCUCUACCCCUCGCCAUGGGGACCUCAGUUCAAGUCACUCCUCUCUCCAACGUCUACAACGAGAGCCCCCUCUGCUACCUCCUCUCCGUCGACGGCUUCAACUUCCUAAUGUACUGCGGCUAGAACGAUCAAUUCGAUGUUAAUCUCCUCCAACCCCUCUCCAGGUUCAAAUCCCUCGCUUAAAUUUGAGUUUUUGAUCGAAACCCUAGAACCACUCAUAUCCAAUUUGUAGGGUGGUCUCGAAGAUCGAUGUGGUUCUGAUAUCACAUUCAGAUAUACUUCAUGUUGGGACUCUGUCGUAUGCGAUGAAGAAGCUAGGGCUGUCUGCGCCCGUGUAUUCGAUGGACCCAGUGUGCAGACUUGGGCAGCUGACGAUGUAUGAUUACUACGUCGCUCGCAGGCAAGUUUCAGAUUUUCGACUUAUUCACCAUGGACGAUAUUGAUUUUGCCUUCCAAAACAUUACGAGGCUGAGAUACUCCCAAAACCAUCAUCUCUCUGAUAAAGGAGAGGGAAUCGUCAUAGCUCCUCAUGUCACAGACCAUCUUCUGGGAGGUACCGUCUGGAAGAUAACAAAAGAUGGAGAAGAUUUUGUGUAUGCCGUUGACUUCAACCAUCGGAAAGAGUAGUUAAGUACCAUUUAAACGAAGAUUUGUAUUCUUAUUUAAUGAUCAUAAGGUUGUACUCACUAAAUUGGUUUAUCAGGCACUUGAAUGGAACUGUCCUUGAAUCUUUUGUCUGGCCUGCUUUUCUGAUAACAGAUGCUUACAAUGCUUUAAACAAUCUAGUUUACAAACGUCAAAGGACCAAGAGUUUCUUGGUAGUUCCCUACUGCCUUCUCAAUUUUAUGUCUUACUUAUUUUAUAUUGUUGUUUUCUUCUCUGAAUUCCUUACCUUUUGUGUUUCAGCUUGUUGGCUUUGUUUUGGAGAUAAGUUUAUUAUUUUAAAUAAUAGCUCUCAAUUGUUUACUUACACAGCUGCCACUUGAAAAUUCUGCAUUUGUAAUAGCUAUAUUGCUUACGUAGCUUUAGAUUUUGGCUUAGUUAUAGAUCUCCCUUGCACUUGGCAAACGUACAACAGAAAUUUUCACUAUGUUGCCAUUGUUGUAGAAGAAAAUUUCAUGUAAAUAUAUUUGACUGACCGAUUGUUUUUUGUAGAUUGAAGUAAAUGAAAAGAAGGCUACUACUCUUUAUAAGUUCUUGAUAUAAAAAUUGAGGUUUUUUUGACGAUGACAUCAAGUGGAAUUUUACUAAGUUCCUUCUGGACAAAGAAGGAAAAGUCGUGGAAAGAUACGCACUAACCACCACAUCUUUGAAAAUAGAGGUGGUUACCACUUCUCGAGAACUUAGACCCUUGUGGGAUAUUAUCACGGGGUGGUGUUGUUUUAGCAUAUCUGUACGGAGAAAUGUUCAAGGUGGCUUUCAGACAAAAUAAAGAGCUCAAGGGAUGUAUGACUUUAUUAUAAGUUUAGGCAUGGGAGAAACUUGUUAUGAAACAAAGAUUAUGUGAGACUCGAGCUUUAGAUGCACCAUUUCCACUUGGCUACAGAGAGGUGAUUGUGAAGGAGGAUCUUAUAUACGUAUGCCGACCAGAUUGACGGAGACGAGAAGGAUCUUGUAGGAAUGAUGAUGAAGUUGGACUGUCACAACUUCACACACAACCAGACAACCAGCUCGUGCAAGCUCAAGUCCAUAGAGGACAACGACGAUCUGAGUGGAUAAGAAGAGAGAGGCAAAGGGGGCAUUCUAGGUUGUAUGUGAUCGAUUUAUGAAUUUUCUGUAUGGAGUCUAUUUAAAUUAUCGAUAUAAGUUAUAUAUAAAUCAAAACACUUAAUAUCUUUAGUUUGGUUA
This is an RNA transcript of Asparagus officinalis (garden asparagus), 2253 nucleotides long. It is a transcript of the gene named cleavage and polyadenylation specificity factor subunit 2-like, with no coding region annotated. The transcript is spliced from 5 exons. The record is from RefSeq and is a predicted model, not a curated record. Lineage: Eukaryota; Viridiplantae; Streptophyta; Magnoliopsida; Asparagales; Asparagaceae.